CUCUAUGACCAUACCACUCUGAAUGCACUCAAUCUUGCCUGAUCUUGAAGCAAAGCAGGUUUGAGUCUGGUUAGUACUUGGAUGGGAAAAGGCUAGUAAGCAUCAUUUACA
Molecule: ribosomal RNA, 111 nt
Organism: Carlito syrichta (Philippine tarsier)
Lineage: Eukaryota; Metazoa; Chordata; Mammalia; Primates; Tarsiidae
Source: Ensembl